UUCCUUCAUUAAUACCCAUCGAACAGAGGCGGCUGCGUGUUGUCGUGUGUCUGUUGAAGGAAGAAGACCGUGAACAUGUCCGGUGACGACACGUACGACGAGCCCAUGGACACCGAGGCCUCGAACUUAGACUUGAUCGACUUUGAGCAACCUCUAGCACUUCCUGGUCAGCCUGCUCAGGCUCUGGUGACCUUAUCACCUAAUGAAGAAGAAGCUCAAGUCUCCCUCAUUGUCGAGUGGACGGGGGACAUUCAACCACAGAAAUAUAGAAAGGACCUGACAAAAGCUCUUCAAAGUCGUGCCAACAAGAAUGAGUUUUGUGAAGAGUUCACAGUUCUGGAAGCCUCAGAGGAUGCUGCUUUGAUAAAGCUCAAACCUGCUUCAGCCCUGAAAAACCUGAUUGGACAAACACUCAGCUGCAAAGAUGGGAAAACAGUCAAACUAGUGUCUGUGAGACCACCAGAGACACACAGACCACAUGAUGCCUCAACGAACCCCCCUUCAUACAAGUCAAUGCUCCAACAUGACCAAGUGCAACAGGGGGAACAAAGUCGAUUCAGCAGUUCAGUCACAGAUCCUGCUGCUGGACAGGCAUGCAAUGUGCCAAUUGCCCAUUACUGGUAUGUGAGCCACAUCUACAAGGAGGAAAUUGAUCGUAUACAAAAAGAGAAUGGAGUUAAAAUUGUGGCAGAAGUGACAGGUAAAACUCGAGCCACACCAGAAAAAUGGAGACCCAACCAAAGCUCUCUCCGAGUUUGUAACCCUCGUCCAGACAUCCUUAGCUGAAUCCAAUGGCUUUGUGGUUCCUCUCAAUUAUUUGGCUCCAGACAAUGUGAGGGACACACUGAAAAUCCUACGGAAAAACGACAACAAGCUUUUGC
This 881-nucleotide long non-coding RNA is filed under the name Scophthalmus maximus (turbot). RNAcentral's name for it is "lncRNA (ENSSMAG00000023898.1)". Lineage: Eukaryota; Metazoa; Chordata; Actinopteri; Pleuronectiformes; Scophthalmidae. The record is from RNAcentral.